GAUGAACGCUGGCGGCGUGCCUAAUACAUGCAAGUCGAGCGAACGGACGAGAAGCUUGCUUCUCUGAUGUUAGCGGCGGACGGGUGAGUAACACGUGGAUAACCUACCUAUAAGACUGGGAUAACUUCGGGAAACCGGAGCUAAUACCGGAUAAUAUUUUGAACCGCAUGGUUCAAAAGUGAAAGACGGUCUUGCUGUCACUUAUAGAUGGAUCCGCGCUGCAUUAGCUAGUUGGUAUGGUAACGGCUUACCAAGGCAACGAUGCAUAGCCGACCUGAGAGGGUGAUCGGCCACACUGGAACUGAGACACGGUCCAGACUCCUACGGGAGGCAGCAGUAGGGAAUCUUCCGCAAAGGGCGAAAGCCUGACGGAGCAACGCCGCGUGAGUGAUGAAGGUCUUCGGAUCGUAAAACUCUGUUAUUAGGGAAGAACAUAUGUGUAAGUAACUGUGCACAUCUUGACGGUACCUAAUCAGAAAGCCACGGCUAACUACGUG
RNAcentral lists this ribosomal RNA (497 nucleotides) under uncultured bacterium. RNAcentral's name for it is "partial 16S ribosomal RNA". It matches the Rfam family "Bacterial small subunit ribosomal RNA", at positions 28 to 507 of the family's 1533-position model. The record is from RNAcentral.